AAAUUCCCCAAAGACAACGUCAGUCCCCAAACACUCCUUUUCACUUCAUCUCCCUCAUCUCAAAAACCCUAAUCCACUGCCCUUGAAUUCUCCACUCGCCGGUCGGCAGCGCCGCCUCAGACCAGCCUCAAACUCACACCCCAAAAUCCUCACAACCUCCCCUUUCCUAAUCCAUAACUAAUAUCCCUUGAAUCGUCACAAAACGGAGCCGAUUUCAAAUCUAAAAAAGGCAGAAAAACGAAAGCAAAAAUCUCUUGAUUUCUUCAAGUUUCAAUGACCGGUUAGGGUCUAAAUUGUUGUUUCUCACUGGUUUUUAACAAGAACCCGCGAUGAAUACCAAUUUCAGCUCGAAAUCGAGAUAAUAGAGGUCCGUUCAAAGCAAUGACAGAGGUCCGUCCACUUCUUGUUUAGGUAUUUUAAGUCUCUUUUCAUUUUCUUUUUCGUUUAGUUCCAGUCUUCAUCUCUUCCUGCUUCGUCUCUUCUUUUCUCUAUUAUUUUUUUCUGUUUUUGCUCGCAUGUUUAAAAUUAAAAUUUGUUAGUUCAUGUUUGUUUUAAUUUCUUUGUUCUUUUGUUUUAUUUCAUAUUUCUUGUUUUCAAAAGAAAAGAACUCUAAUUUUUUUGGGGCAAUUCCGUUUACCCCAUUAGUUUUCUGAGUUUGAUUUUGAAUUGGGCUCUGUUAAUCAGAGGCCCAAAGGAAAGGGGAUUAGCCGGGUUUGGUAAACCCAUGUCUUGUAGGUCUUGGGUCUAUUUGACCCAUUUGUUUCCAAGGGUAAAUAACAGAGGUUUAAGGAUUAAUUUAGGAAUUUUAGGUUAAGGAAUCUUGUAUAACUGACUCGGCAAACUUCUAGGAAGGUGGGUUUGGGGCUGUUUUUGAAAAGCUAAUUUUUGAAUUAGGGAUUGAAUAGCAAAAACGAAAAUUGAAAAAGGAUUAAAGAGCAAAAACUGAACUCAUUUCUGCUGCCCUAAAAAUUCUCUAUAAAAUGCUAUUUCUUCACUCCCAAGUCAGAGUUUUGGAGACUGAAAAAAGCAUUGAAUCUUUAAAAACGGCUGAGUUUUUCUUUCAAGUUCAAGUACUGGAAAUUGCUUGAAUUUUGCUUGGUUUUUGAGUUUUAAUUACUUUUGAUAAGUCAGAAGUUCAAAAGUUUAAUAUAAUAGCUCAUCUGGGUUUUAAAAGUCUGGAAUUGGGUCGAGAAUUUGAAGCUUGUUUUGCCGAUUAUAUACUGUUAUGCUGCUAUUUUGCUGCUGCUGUUUCCUCCUAAUCUCAGGCUUUAUUUCUGGUUUAUUUUGCUGUAUUCAGGUACAUGUUUCUAAAUCCUACCUAAUGUGAGGCUCCAUUUGAAGUAUGAAAUUGAAAUCUGGAGUUUUAAGCAUAGCCUCAACUUACUUGUUCAUAGUUUAGCUUUACUUUUCUGAAUUACAUUAUUCUGAUUUAUCUGAUGCAUUGUAUUUUGUCUGGCUGCUGACAGUACUCGCUUAAGAGCUGUAUUUGGUCUGUACUUAGCAUGGAAUUCAAUUUUCUAUCAAGUAUCUUAUAGCUAGAUGUUGGUUUUGACAACUGAACUCGUACCAUUGUGUCUGAUCUUGGACUAUUAUGAUGGAAGCAUGAUGAACACCCUGCUUAGUCGAAUCAGUAGCUAAAUUCUGCAAUCAACCAUGUUAAAUAGUGUAAUGUUGGCUGCAUUUGAACUCUCUCUGCCUUGUAUUUCAUUUGGACUGUUAUAGCAUGUUUGUGGUACACAAAUAACACUUUACUUCAUGGAGUUGAUCACUGAAUGGUUCAUAAGUCAGUAGUUAGUCUAUUUAAGUUGUAUUCCAUUUUGAAUCCAUGUUCCCAAGCAUAUGCAUGUUUUGAAGUCCUCUCAAGUAUUCUGAUGAAAAUUGAGUUGAAUGCUGGUUAUGUUUCGAUAGUAAGAUUAAUUGUGAAUGGUUAUAAUGUUUAAAUGUAGAAUUGUUAACAUAUAGUCUCAUAAGGUUGAUCUACUAUUGUAUGUGUUGAAGAGGGGUUUAAUCGAGGUUUAAAUCUCACAAUUGCAUAUGAAUUAGUUGAGGACUGAUUUAAAUAUGAUCCUUAUACAGCUGUGUAUUAUGGAAAACCCAUCAGACCCUUGUUAUUAGAUUUGAUGUUCAAGUGCCUUUUUUUUACAAGCUGCAAGGACUCGAUCUCGAAUCCUGUUUUUCCCCUGCCUCAUCUUAAGAGAUUCUGUUUGCCGGAUUUUUAAUCUAUUCAGAAAUAGGAAGUUUGUAUUUCCAGCCCUUUUGGGCCUGUGUUUUGAGCCCAUCUGCUUUUCUUUAAUUUUGAUACGGGGUGUUCCAAAUAGCAACUGGGCCUGCUAUUAGUUUAGGCCUCUCCCUAUAAUUGAAUACUUGUCUUAUUUUAAUAUCAGUCCCUUAAUGAACGAGUUUGGGUUGAGCCAUUCACUUGAAACAAGAGUUUAAAUUCCCUUAGUGCUCAAUUAAUUGGAUUCCAUUAAAUAAGUUUGAGAGGUGCCAUAAUAAAAAACACCAAUAGUCUAUGGCCCUCAUAAUUUUCAAAUAAAGAACCUUUUGAAUAAAUUAGAUUUGAGGCGUGCCAUAUUAGGCAAGAUAAUUUAUGGCCCUCAAAAGUAGUUCGAACAUCCUUGGAAAUUAGAAAUUGAGGUGUGCCAUUAGUGAAUUUUACAUGGCCCUCGCAAACUUGAAAGAGCAUAGUUGCUUUAGGCGCGAUAUUUAAAUUUAUCUCCUUAAACUCGGGUGUGCAUUUCAUGUGACCCAACUCCAAGUCUCAACAACAUUAAAUAAAAUGUGUCGUGGACCGCAAGUACAUUUAAUGUGGCGUGGUUCAAGGCAUAUUUUAAAUAACGUUGAAUCCUCUUAAAAUAAUUAGAAACGGUUUAAUAAGUUAAAAUUGUACCAUAGGUUAAAACAUGUACUAAAAUUAGAUAAUAGGCCAAUUAUAUUAAUUAAAGUGACCGUGCUAGAACCACGGAACCUGGGGGUGCCUAACACCUUCCCUCGAGUUAACAGAAUUCCUUAUUCAGAAUUUCUGUGUUCGCGGACUAUAAAAUAGAGUCAAUCUUUCCACGAUUCGGGAUUUGAACCGGUGACUUGGGACACCAUAAAUUAUCCCAAGUGGCGACUCUGCUUUAAAUAAAUAAAUCCAGUUUCGAUUGUCACUUUAAGUUGGAAAAAACUCCCUUAUACCUUUUCGGGGUAGUAAAAAGGAGGUGUGACACUCAUGAAUAGUUAGACUCCCCUUUAUAUAGUAGAGGAGUUUUACCCUAAGUACAAUUCUAAAAAAGGGUAAAAAUCCUUCUUCUUGCUAAUCACUAAUCCUUUGCUGAUACAGGCCAAAAAUUACGCCGUGACAUCCGGUUGGAUGUGGAUAUCACGACCCUUUGCUAGCCGUGUGUGAUUGUCUAGUAGAGCUCUCCGAAACUUUGUGAUUCGAACUGGUCCUGGGGGAUGUGGCCCCGAUUCUUCCGAGGGCAAGUGUUUCGUCCGAAUCUCGAUACGAGGGGCUCAUUUCCUCGAUUCUGAUUCCUUAUGCUCAUGUCUCCACUCCGUUUGUUUUACCGAGAACCGAGGCCUCCAACGGGCUCAGUUUCACCCGUAUACAAAAUCAUCUCAUUAAGAAUAAAUGAGAAGCUUAAAGUUAAAUUAUUUUUAAAUAUAAAAAAAAUGACGGUAGAUUAAAGAGGAAAAUGCAUAAGAGACCGGGGAGUAUUCUACUUAUAUAGAAGAGCGCACAAGCUGCUCUCCGUCGACAUCCCUGCUUGCCGACGGAGGGCAAUUUCGUAUUUGCAGUGCCCUAUUUUAGGUAAAAUUCCUGUUGUGUCCCUAUACUAAUUGUUUUGUGUUGUUUAGGAAAGACUACUUAGGUAAUUUCACAAUUCACAGUCACCGCUUAAUUUUGUGCUGCUUUAUCAUAAUACCAUAAUUUUGCUCUGCUUUACCAUCUCGCUUUCUGGAAAAUUGGCCCAUCUUCUUCUUCUUACUCGCUUAACCCUUGUGAUUUUAUGGUGCUUUUUGCUUUCAUAAAUUGAAUCCCAAUUUCUGGAAUGUAAAGUAAUAUUUUUGACUGAAAAUUGAGUUCACAGUUUCACAUUUGCUCCACCAAGAUAAUUAUAUAGCUGAAAGGUUAGUUUUAUUGUUCUAUUUCUUCUCCUUCAUAUGGGUGACUCUGAUUAUUUUGUUUCAGGGUUCUUCUUAGUUUGUUGUUCAAAUUUUUGUUGUUUGUGAAACUCAAAGAACAUCUUGAAAAGAAACUGGGGUUUCCACCAAUUAUCCGAUAAUUUUCUAUCUUUGUUUGUAUUUGAAGGUUUUGUCAUUUUAAAAUUGGGGAUUUCAGAAUACAUGAGCCUCUGACUUUCUUAUAUUUGAGCCACAAUUCUAAGUUUCAUCUUGUUCAUCCUGUUUCUUUCUCUGCUUCAUCUUCUGAUUUCGUUUUAUCUCAAGUUUAUCGAUUUCGACAUCAACGAUUAAUCGAAGGUCUUUGGAUAAGAAACCUGGGUCAUUGACUUGAACGGUAUUUCUUACUCUUACCACUCUGCUUUGUUCAUGUGUUACUUCAGGUUUAAAACAAAUUGUUUGCUAGAUCUCAAAUUUUUUCUUUUGGUCAACUUUGUUUUAAGUUGGCCUGCUACGUGUUUGUGAAAUUGCCAACUCCAAUGUGAUAAACCAAAAGGUUUGGGUCAUCACUUGUUUUUAAAUUUAAUUCUGUGUUUCCGAAGCCUUGAAAACCUCAUUUAGCAUCACCUCAAUUUGUGUGUAUAGUCCGGGCGCAUAGCCGGAAAGCUUAUAUGGAAAAUCUAUGAAAAAUUGAUAAAUUUUGACUAUAAAAUGAAUAAAUUUGACUUUGGUCAACGUUUUGGGUAAACGGACCUGAACCCACAAUUUGACAAUCUCGGAGGGUCCGUAGGAAAAUAUGAGACUUGGGCGUAUGCCCGGAAUCGAAUUCCGAGGUCCCAAGCCCGAGAAAUGAAUUUUUAAAGAAUAAUUAUUUUCUGAAAUUAUUUAAAGGAAUUUGAAAUGAAUUUCGAUUAGAACAUGUUGGUAUUAGGCCCGUAUUUUGGUUCUGGUACCCGGUACAGGUCUUAUAUAUGAUUUAAGAUGAUUCGGUGGAGUUUGGUAAGAAACGGAAUCUUUUUGACUUGAUUCAGACGGUAAAUGCAAAGUUUGAUGCUUUAAGAAAUUUUGAAAUAUUUCAUUGAUUUUGAGGUUUAAUUUGUUGUUAUUGAGGUUAUUUUGGUGAUUUGAUCACACGAAUAAGUUCGUAUGAUGUUAUUGAGUUAGUACGCAUGUUUGGUUUUGAGCCCCGAGGGCUCAGGUGUGUUUCAGAAGGUUUAUGGGAACUCAAAAAGUUGUAGGUUUUUGCUGUUUAGUGCCCAGGGAUUUUUCUCUUCGCGUUCGCGUGGUCCCUCUCGCGAACGCGUAAGGCAAAUUUCCCAGGUGCCAGAUUUCUUCUUCGCAAACGCGAGGCUGAGGGGGGAAUACCCUUCGCGAACGCGUCCAUGCACUCGCGAACGCAUCCAUGCACUCGCGAAUGUGUAAGGUUAAGGCCUGGGGAGGGGUCACCAUUUUGUGCAUCACGAACGCGGCCAUUGGCCCGCGAACGCGUAGGCUUGAGGGGCCAAAGCUCUGCGAAUGCGAGCCAUCUUCCGCGAAUGCGAUGACCAGUUUUGCCCAGUUAUUUUACGUUUCAAAAACAGAAUGUCAUAUGGGAUUUUCAUUAUUUUUCACAAACUUCAUCUUCUUCACACCUCUUGGGCAAUUUUUUAAGAAGAACUUCACCAUAGCUUCAUAGGUAUGUAAUCCUAAGCUCGUUUUCUUCCAUUUUUAUCAACACCCAAUAGAUUUCUAGGCCUAAAACAUGUGAUUAAGGGUAGAAAAUUAGUAAUUUGGGUAGAGUUAUGGCUUUUUGAUUAUUUGGGAAUUUGACCUCAUUUUGGGGUCGGAUUUCAAAACAAAUUAUAUAUUUGGGCUCGUGGGUGAAUGGGUGACCGGGUUUUGGUCCGAACCUCGUGUUUUGACCAAGCGGGCCCGUGGUCAAUUUUUGACUUUUUGGGAAGAAUGAUUAGAAAGUUAUAAUUAAGCAUUGGAAUUGGAUUGUUUAGCGUUUAUUGAUGUUAUUAAGUCGAUUAUGUCUAGAUACAAUUGAUUUGGAGCCGAAUUCGAAAGGAAAGGUGGUGUUUGAGGCUUGAGUUGACCAUUGAAGUUCAAGGUAAGUGUUUGGUCUAACCUUAGCUUGAGGGAUUAGGAGUUAUGUCCUAUUUGCUAUUUGCUUCUGGUUGAGUACAAUGUAUAGGCAUGUUGACGAGUAUCUAUACGUUGGUGUCUAGCAUGCCCGUGAGUCUUUAUAUUGUGAUUAUCAUGACUUCGUUGUAUCUUUCAUACCUUGGUGAUGGUUUCUACUUGUUGUAUAAUGUUUGUGGAAAGAAUUGUGACCUAUGAACAUUGAGGAGCAUUGGCUCAAGUUGUAUAACGAAUUGUGAAAGUAUAAGUAACAAUUGAACUUUUAGAGCAUUGACUCGAGUUGUGAAAUGAGUUGUGAAGGUAUAAGUGAUAAUUGAACCUCUAGAGUAUGGGCUUGAGUUGUGAAGUGAAUCGUCAAGAAAAAAAUGAGAAAGAGAAGAGAUCAUUAUGUUGUCACCCUUGCCGGGAUUUAAGUGUUGACUUGUUGCUCCCUUGCUGGGAUUCUUAUUGCAAUUUCCUUUAUUUCCUUGCCCUAUUGUUUGUGAUUGUUGUUUAGGUGAGGAAGAGAGUUAAAGCAUGAAGGGUGAUGCCGUGCAUUGUUUGUUUUUUGAGGAAAGAGAGUAAAGCACGAAGUGUGAUGUCGUGCCGCACGAUGUACCAUUCUGUGCCUAUCAUAUUGAUUUCAUGGAUGAGGAAAGAGUGUAAAGCACGAAGGGUGAUGCUGUGCUACACGAUGUACCAUUCCAUGCCUAUUGUAUUGAUUAUUAUGGUGAGGACGAGAGUAAAAGCACGAAGGGUGAUGUCGUGCACUUGUCCUUGAUUUUCCCUGAUUCUUGCUGAUAAUUCAGUUAUGUUGUCCUUUACGUUUAUUUACUGAUUUUCUGUUGUUACUUGAUUUUAUUUCGAGGUUAUAGAUUCCCUUAUCCUAUUUUCCUUGUGGUUGUUGUUUGGGUGAGGAAGAGCGUAAAGCACGAAGGGUGAUGUCGUGCAUUAUUUUGUGAGAGAGUGUUAAAGCAUGAAAGGUGAUGUCGUGUAUUGUUUUGGUGAGAGAGAGUAAAAGCACGGAGGGUGAUGCCGUAUGCUUGUCUUUGAUUUCCUAAUUUUUAUUGAUAACUGUGUUACGGUUUCUCUACACUAAAUUGUUGGUUUCCUGUUGAUACUUGUUGUACGCCGCAACAUGAUUUCCCCUUCCUAUUUUCAAUUGAACUGUGGUGAUCCUCAUAUUUAUUUAUUUCUCUUCUGCUACUACUCGAUGUUUCUCCACAACAUGUUUUCCCCCUCCCAUACUUGACUGUAUAUGACUGUUUCUUUCUGUACUUCUUUUCCACUGUAUAUAGUUAAAUUGCACAGGUUUAUUCAGUAGUCUGGUCCUAGCCUCGUCACUACUUCGCCGAGGUUAAGCUAGGCACUUACCAGCAUAUGGGGUCGGUUGUGCUGAUACUACACUCUGCACUUUUUGUGCAGACCCCAGUGUUGUAGACUUCGGACCGCAGUGGGUUGUUGAUUUUUGCUCAUCAGGCGACCCGAAGUAGUCCUGCAGGCGUCCGCAGGCCUUGGCGUCUCCUUCUAUCUACUUUCCUGUUUCUACAUUAUUUCCAGAG
This 7772-nucleotide long non-coding RNA is filed under the name Nicotiana tabacum (common tobacco). RNAcentral's name for it is "long non-coding RNA (NTAB_LNC012986)". Lineage: Eukaryota; Viridiplantae; Streptophyta; Magnoliopsida; Solanales; Solanaceae. The record is from RNAcentral.